This 465-nucleotide ribosomal RNA is filed under the name Vreelandella stevensii. RNAcentral's name for it is "partial 16S ribosomal RNA". It matches the Rfam family "Bacterial small subunit ribosomal RNA", at positions 338 to 795 of the family's 1533-position model. The record is from RNAcentral. Lineage: Bacteria; Pseudomonadati; Pseudomonadota; Gammaproteobacteria; Oceanospirillales; Halomonadaceae.
CCUACGGGGGGCUGCAGUGGGGAAUAUUGGACAAUGGGGGGAACCCUGAUCCAGCCAUGCCGCGUGUGUGAAGAAGGCCCUCGGGUUGUAAAGCACUUUCAGUGAGGAAGAACGCCUGGUGGUUAAUACCCAUCAGGAAAGACAUCACUCACAGAAGAAGCACCGGCUAACUCCGUGCCAGCAGCCGCGGUAAUACGGAGGGUGCGAGCGUUAAUCGGAAUUACUGGGCGUAAAGCGCGCGUAGGUGGCUUGAUAAGCCGGUUGUGAAAGCCCCGGGCUCAACCUGGGAACGGCAUCCGGAACUGUCAAGCUAGAGUGCAGGAGAGGAAGGUAGAAUUCCCGGUGUAGCGGUGAAAUGCGUAGAGAUCGGGAGGAAUACCAGUGGCGAAGGCGGCCCUCUGGACUGACACUGACACUGAGGUGCGAAAGCGUGGGUAGCAAACAGGAUUAGAUACCCCGGUAGUC